This is a long non-coding RNA of Etheostoma spectabile (orangethroat darter), 115 nucleotides long. RefSeq lists it as uncharacterized. NCBI's taxonomy places the organism in Eukaryota, Metazoa, Chordata, Actinopteri, Perciformes, Percidae. The transcript is spliced from 4 exons. The record is from RefSeq and is a predicted model, not a curated record.
AUUUGUAAAUCUGUGAAAUCGUUCCCUGAAAGAACCAUGCAGGCCUGUCUUGUUGCACGAUGCAAAUGUUCUUCAAAACUAGACAUUUUCAGCUUGUAAUGUUUUCAGACGUUGC